GACGAACGCNGGCGGCGUGCUUAACACAUGCAAGUCGAACGGAGCGAAUGAAAGCUUGCUUUUAUAAGCUUAGUGGCAAACGGGUGAGUAACACGUAGACAACCCGCCGACAGGAUGGGGACAACAUUCCGAAAGGAAUGCUAAUACCGAAUGAAGUGCAGGGGAGGCAUCUCCCCUGCAUGAAAGAUGGCCUCUUUUUAUGCUAUCACCUGUUGAUGGGUCUGCGUCUGAUUAGCUGGUAGGUGAGGUAACGGCUCACCUAGGCGACGAUCAGUAGCCGGUCUGAGAGGAUGAACGGCCACAUUGGGACUGAGACACGGCCCAGACUCCUACGGGAGGCAGCAGUGGGGAAUCUUCCGCAAUGGGCGCAAGCCUGACGGAGCAACGCCGCGUGAGUGAAGAAGGUCUUCGGAUCGUAAAGCUCUGUUGAUGGGGACGAACGUGCCUAAUGCGAAUAGUAUUAGGUAANGAC
RNAcentral lists this ribosomal RNA (472 nucleotides) under uncultured bacterium. Its description in RNAcentral is "bacterial SSU rRNA". It matches the Rfam family "Bacterial small subunit ribosomal RNA", at positions 28 to 473 of the family's 1533-position model. The record is from RNAcentral.